This 337-nucleotide unclassified non-coding RNA is filed under the name soil metagenome. RNAcentral describes it as "partial contains 5.8S ribosomal RNA, internal transcribed spacer 2, and large subunit ribosomal RNA". The stretch from base 1 to 120 matches the Rfam family "5.8S ribosomal RNA", at positions 35 to 154 of the family's 154-position model. The record is from RNAcentral.
GAUGAAGAACGUAGCGAAAUGCGAUAAGUAGAGUGAAUUGCAGAAUUCAGUGAAUCAUCGAAUCUUUGAACGCACAUUGCGCCCCUUGGUAUUCCAUGGGGCAUGCCUGUUCGAGCGUCAUCUACACCCUCACGCUCUGCUUGGUGUUGGGCGUCUGUCCCGCCCCCGCGCGUGGACUCGCCCCAAAUCCAUUGGCAGCGUUCCUUGCCCCCUCUCGCGCAGCACAUUGCGCUUCUCGAGGGCGGCUCCGGGACGCGAUCCAGCAAGAUGACCACCGUCUUUGACCUCGGAUCAGGUAGGGAUACCCGCUGAACUUAAGCAUAUCAAUAGCGGAGGA